Molecule: long non-coding RNA, 1675 nt
Organism: Bos indicus x Bos taurus (hybrid cattle)
Lineage: Eukaryota; Metazoa; Chordata; Mammalia; Artiodactyla; Bovidae
Source: Ensembl
CAAACACAAGACAAAAGCUCAGCGCACAGAUUCCGGGUACACAUCAAAUCUAAGAUCUAAAGUCCUUGCCUUAUUUCCAUUAAAAAAAAAAAUUUAGCAACACUCCAAAAUAUUUUUAAAGUACAUUUGAUACAUAGACGCCGGCACAGCUUCCCUGUGGAACCCGGGUAAGGAAUUUCCCUGCAAACCGACACAACCCGAGGAGAGGACAGACAUGCAAGGCAGCGAAGAGGAGGACCACUGACCAUGGCCAGGUCCCGCGCCAGCCCCGCCGUCGUGGGUCCCUUACCUUGUGGCUUUUCCCCCCCGGGGGACACCUGACGUUGUUGGAGGCUCCCGCUGUCUGAUUCAUGUCCGGAGGAACUUGGGAACCGAUGCUCUAGAACCUCUCCAAGUUCCUCGGCGCCUGGAGGGUGGCGAGGGGCGCGUCUCCCGGAGGCGAGGUGGGUCCUGGCAGUCCAGCCGUGUCCGGGCGGCGUCCCCUACGCGGCAGGUUUCCGAGGGACCCCUCGCCCAGGGAAGCUGAGCACUGCAAGCCCCGGAGCCGAAGAAGGAGAAGCAGCUGCUGGGAUCCCAGAGGGAGCCGGGCCGGCGCCGGCGGCUCUGAGGGCGCUGUGCCCGGGGCUGCCUUCUCCGGGAAGCAGUCCAGGACUGUCCGGACCUGAGCACCAGCAGAUCCUAAAGGAGCUCCUGGGAGAGGCGAGGAGGUGGAUUCUUGACCAGCUGAGCCAUAGGUGCCAGCAUCGCCCUGCAUCUUCUGACGUUAGUUUCUGCUCAGCCCUUAGGCUCCAGGGGAGCGUCUGGUCUGGCAUGACAACAAGAGUGACUCUGAUGAUGCUCAUUGUUUAAACAAUCCGGAGGCCCUUGCUGGGGGAUUGAGGCUGAAUAAGGACUGGUCAGCUGGAGCGUGAAAUGAUCACUCCCAGGAGACGACAGCUGGAAUGUAAGCUCGUGAUGGAAGCCUGCCCCAGAGAAGCAAGUGGUCUUUAGGAAUGUCGAUGCCUAUGUAUCCAUGUCCUUGCCAAAUCUGUCACCUGCUCGGCCAUGCUGGUAAUAUCCAUGAGACCCUGAGUGAGUCACCAUCUGCUGAGGCAUCAGGUGUCAUCUGUAAAACAAUGGACUUUAAUCACCUAGUCUUUACCAUGAUUUGCAAUUGAAAGAUAAUAUGGUUGAAAAUUUGAGGUAGAAAGGAUUUGAAAUGACCUCUCAAUGGAAGCUUGGCUAACGGAAGAGAAGCCCCAGUGAAAAUAACAUUCAUUACUUUGUUGAUACGUGUGUGUGUGUGUGUGUGUGUGUAUACAUGUAUAUGGAAUAUAUGAAUCCUAUUAAGUGCCAGAAUUAUCCAUUUUCAACAGCUCCAUGCUGCAGUAAGAACAAAUCAGGUUUCGAAAACAAACUUACGGUUGCCAAAAGGGAAAAGUGGAGAGGGGAGAGAAAAAUUAGGCGUUUGAAAUGAACAUAUACACACUACUAUCUACAAAAUAGAUCAUCAACAAAGACCCACUGUGUACUGCAGGGAACUCUACUCAGUGCUGUGUAAUAACCUAUGUGGGGAAAGAACCUGAAAAGAAAAGAAAUAUGCGUAUGUAUAACUGAAUCACUCUGCUGUACACCUGAAGCUAACACAGCAGUGUCAAUCAAGUACGCUCCAAAAUAAAAUAAGCGGGAAAUAACA